UACGUAGGGUGCAAGCGUUGUCCGGAAUUAUUGGGCGUAAAGGGCUCGUAGGCGGUCCGUCACGUCGGGAGUGAAAUCCUGGGGCUUAACCCCAGAACUGCUUCCGAUACGGGCAGACUAGAGGUAGGUAGGGGAGAAUGGAAUUCCUGGUGUAGCGGUGAAAUGCGCAGAUAUCAGGAGGAACACCGGUGGCGAAGGCGGGUCUCUGGGCCGAUACUGACGCUGAGGAGCGAAAGCGUGGGGAUCAAACAGG
RNAcentral lists this ribosomal RNA (253 nucleotides) under uncultured bacterium. RNAcentral describes it as "partial 16S ribosomal RNA". It matches the Rfam family "Bacterial small subunit ribosomal RNA", at positions 524 to 776 of the family's 1533-position model. The record is from RNAcentral.